GUGAAAAGCAUUAACUGGGACGAUGGUGAUACGAUGGUGACGUGUGAUUGCGAAGGCCUGUGUCCCACCCUGGGAGUUGAACCUGCCUGCUUGGCUCUGACAGCUUUCUUCUGGCUAGCAGUACACAUGCCCGGGUGGGGUCGGCAUUACUAAGAGGUGUGGCCUGCCUUAUAACGCACAAGUCUGUUUUCACCUUCAACGAGAGAUGUUGCCUGCAGCGGACAGGCGUGCCCAUGGGUGGCCCUAUGGCGGGCCCUGUUCCCGGAGUGGUGUUGCGGGGGAUUGAGGCGAGGACCCUGGGAGCCUUGGGGGCGGCUGCGAAGUUCUGCCUUCGCUGCGUUGAUGACGUCUUCACGGUGUGGGAGCGAGACGCGGGUCCGAGGAUCUUGGAGGAGAGGCUCGCGGUCGGGGCCUGCAGAGCUGCCCUGGGGCGGCGGCAGGCUGGCAAGAUGGAGGCGCGCUUCUUGGACCUGCGGCUCGGGGUCGAGAGUCGGACACUGUCCACUGCAGUGUGUGGGAGGCCCAUAUACGAUCCUGUGCUGGUCCCCGGAUGGUCUGCCGACCCUUUCAAGUGUGGGCUCUCAGCGGUUCGAUGUCUUUUUGGAGGGGCCGUUCUCUGCGGCAGCACGCCUGAGGGGCUGAGCAGGGAAUUGGACUGCAUCUGU
RNAcentral lists this long non-coding RNA (665 nucleotides) under Androctonus crassicauda. The record is from RNAcentral. Lineage: Eukaryota; Metazoa; Arthropoda; Arachnida; Scorpiones; Buthidae.